CCUACGGGUGGCUGCAGUGGGGAAUAUUGGGCAAUGGGCGCAAGCCUGACCCAGCAACGCCGCGUGAAGGAAGAAGGCUUUCGGGUUGUAAACUUCUUUUAAGGGGGAAGAGCAGAAGACGGUACCCCUUGAAUAAGCCACGGCUAACUACGUGCCAGCAGCCGCGGUAAUACGUAGGUGGCAAGCGUUAUCCGGAUUUACUGGGUGUAAAGGGCGUGUAGGCGGGAAAGCAAGUCAGAUGUGAAAACCAUGGGCUCAACCUGUGGCCUGCAUUUGAAACUGUUUUUCUUGAGUACUGGAGAGGCAGACGGAAUUCCUAGUGUAGCGGUGAAAUGCGUAGAUAUUAGGAGGAACACCAGUGGCGAAGGCGGUCUGCUGGACAGCAACUGACGCUGAGGCGCGAAAGCGUGGGGAGCAAACAGGAUUAGAUACCCCAGUAGUC
RNAcentral lists this ribosomal RNA (442 nucleotides) under uncultured bacterium. RNAcentral's name for it is "partial 16S ribosomal RNA". It matches the Rfam family "Bacterial small subunit ribosomal RNA", at positions 338 to 795 of the family's 1533-position model. The record is from RNAcentral.